Molecule: long non-coding RNA, 619 nt
Organism: Siniperca chuatsi (mandarin fish)
Lineage: Eukaryota; Metazoa; Chordata; Actinopteri; Centrarchiformes; Sinipercidae
Exons: 2
Source: RefSeq, a predicted model, not a curated record
CAGGUGUGCUGUGAAAACAAAACAAAGGCCGCCUAGUACACAGUGACGUGGUACCAUACACGUCUGUAGGUUUCACCGGCUUGCAGGUGCAGCAGCUGAUGGGGGGGGGCAAAAAGCAGGACAGCGGUUUGAACAUGAAACUCAGGGAUCUAACUUUGGGCUGUUUUUGAGUUGAGUUUGGCAGGAGAAGUAGUGCACACAGUGCAGUUGCAGCGUUUCUCCAUGUUUCCAUGACCUGAAUUUUUCAACACUGACUCAUAUUAAAGGGUAACUGCACCCUUAAAUUAAAGAAGAGAGGGUGCAGCGACAGCGGGAGGCCUCGUCGCCAUGUAGCGAGGUGACGUGGAGGGUCAGGGGACUGACCAGAGACACACAGUAAAUCUGCUGGAGCUACAACACAGGUUGCCCCGCUGUUUAUCACAUGCAGAAAUGGUGGCGUGUAGUUCCUCUUUAAAAUCUGAACAGCCUGAGAGCUUGUGGGUUUAUCAUCGCCGCCGCCAGCUUCACGUUCACGAGGACAAGCUGCAGUUUCACAGCUGAACACGUGUGGUUUCCUUCACUCUCUACUGGUUACUGGUGGUGUGACUGGGGAUGUUUUUAAGUAGUAUGGCGUGGCAGG